GUAGGCGGCAAGCGUUGUCCGGAAUUAUUGGGCGUAAAGCGCGCGCAGGCGGUUCUUUAAGUCUGAUGUGAAAGCCCACGGCUCAACCGUGGAGGGUCAUUGGAAACUGGAGAACUUGAGUACAGAAGAGGAAAGCGGAAUUCCACGUGUAGCGGUGAAAUGCGUAGAGAUGUGGAGGAACACCAGUGGCGAAGGCGGCUUUCUGGUCUGUAACUGACGCUGAGGCGCGAAAGCGUGGGGAGCAAACAGGGAUUAGAUACCCUGGUAGUCCACGCCGUAAACGAUGAGUGCUAAGUGUUAGGGGGUUUCCGCCCCCUUAGUGCUGCAGCUAACGCAUUAAGCACUCCGCCUGGGGAUACGGCCGCAAGGCUG
This 372-nucleotide ribosomal RNA is filed under the name uncultured organism. Its description in RNAcentral is "partial 16S ribosomal RNA". It matches the Rfam family "Bacterial small subunit ribosomal RNA", at positions 527 to 896 of the family's 1533-position model. The record is from RNAcentral.